Molecule: ribosomal RNA, 207 nt
Filed under: uncultured bacterium
Lineage: Bacteria
Description: partial 16S ribosomal RNA
Rfam family: Bacterial small subunit ribosomal RNA
Source: RNAcentral
UGCGUAGGCGGUUCCGUAUGUCAGAUGUGAAAGCCCACGGCUCAACCGUGGAACUGCAUUUGAAACUGCGGUACUAGAGUGCAGGAGGGGAGAGCGGAAUUCUUGGUGUAGCGGUGAAAUGCGUUGAUAUCAAGAAGAACACCGGUGGCGAAGGCGGCUCUCUGGAAUGCUACUGACGCUGAGGCACGAAAGCUGGGGGAGCAAACA